This 301-nucleotide ribosomal RNA is filed under the name uncultured bacterium. RNAcentral's name for it is "partial 16S ribosomal RNA". It matches the Rfam family "Bacterial small subunit ribosomal RNA", at positions 509 to 807 of the family's 1533-position model. The record is from RNAcentral.
CAGCCGCCGCGGUAAUACAGAGGGUGCGAGCGUUAAUCGGAUUUACUGGGCGUAAAGCGUGCGUAGGCGGCUUCUUAAGUCGGAUGUGAAAUCCCUGAGCUUAACUUAGGAAUUGCAUUCGAUACUGGGAAGCUAGAGUAUGGGAGAGGAUGGUAGAAUUCCAGGUGUAGCGGUGAAAUGCGUAGAGAUCUGGAGGAAUACCGAUGGCGAAGGCAGCCAUCUGGCCUAAUACUGACGCUGAGGUACGAAAGCAUGGGGAGCAAACAGGAUUAGAUACCCGCGUAGUCCCUGUCUCUUAUAC